RNA transcript from Mytilus trossulus (common blue mussel), 2753 nucleotides. RefSeq lists it as uncharacterized. The transcript has 7 exons. The record is from RefSeq and is a predicted model, not a curated record. Lineage: Eukaryota; Metazoa; Mollusca; Bivalvia; Mytilida; Mytilidae.
UUUGUACUUGACAUGUUUAUUAAGCAACAAUUUUGUAGGUCAAAGGUCAAGGUAAAACACUUACAGUUGGGAAUCCCAUGUCCUAUGGUAAAGAUUGUGUCUGUUAUUGACAGCGGGCCCACAGUGAUGGCUCCCAAUGGCCAUCUCACUGAUAUCUAGUUAUUUUCAGCUUUUUUCAGGACAAGUUAUUUAUUAUUCAAAAUCCUCCUGGCCCUCAACAUGGUCGUCCCCUUAAAUAGUGUUUGAAGGUAGAAUUUGCUAGAUAUUUUAAUUUUUCUAAUUUUGCCUUUUAUAAAGAACUUCUAAUAUGAAGCCUACAUACUUUUAAGCAUUUUAUCAAAUUACUUUGAACUCAUUUUCAACUUAGUAAAAAAGCUUGAAAAGUUGUAUCCCUGUGUUUAAAAGUAAUAAAAACUUUUUAAAUGCAUUUUUAGCUCACCUAGCCUAAAAGGCCAUGUGAGCUUAUGCCAUCACUUGGCGUCGUCUGUCAUCCGUUGUCCGUCGUCGUAAACUAUUUCAAAGAUCUUGGAUCUUCUCUGAAUCGCAUUUAUCCAUACUCAUAGUUGACUAAAGACUAUAUUAUCAUACAAAAAUCACGUUUCUAUACAUAGAAGUCCAUACAUAAAGUAUACCUGAGUUUGAUUGCAUUUUUUUAAGGACACAGAGAAGACAAAAAUACCGUUAAAGAUUUUUACGCAUGACAGGAGGAUAAGAAAAGGUGUAUUUGCCUCUUCAUUUGCAGAUAUGGUCAAUAAAUGUAAGGAAAAGUUUACUAUUGCAGAGGUCAACCAUAUAACAUUUGUUCUAAAUGAAGAUGGUGUGGAAAUAGAUGACGAAUUUUUUUCAACUCUCACACCAAACACAAUCCUCAUGAUUUUGAACGAAGGUGAAACAUGGAACAAGCAGUUUGAAUCCAGUGGUAGAGAGCAAGACACAUCAGCACCAGGCAUGGAAGUGUCUACCUCAAAAAUAAUGGGUUUCAUUGAACAAGCCAGAGCUUCAAAAAGAAAAUGUACCAAUUUACCAGGAACAUCUGCACAGAAACUGCCAAAACCAGAUAUAGUUAAACUAGGUAUCGGUUGGCAGCAUUAUUCCUAUAACACUUCAUCUUAUCACCAAGUAAGAAGCUCCCGAAAUAAGCAGAUUCCAUCACAUGAUAUCAACCUGGCAUAUAAUAAAGACUACGAAGAAACUCUUCAAUGUUUACAAGACAUUUUUUUCAAAAAUGGCAGAAACUUUAAAGGCAGAAUUAGUGAAAUGGAGUUGAGGAUUGGUAAUAGUGCAGGGAGAGAAAUCAGUAGGGAUGGGUUCACUGCAAAACAAUAUUUUGUCAGACACAAAAGAAACGAAUCUACUUAUUGACAAAAAUCAAGGCUCAGCACAUAACAAGUCUAGAUUUUUCUAUUACUUCUGAUUCUGAGGAAUCAUUGCCAGAUCUUGGUUCCCAGUUUACAGAAAACCUACUUUCAUCUACCCUGCCUACAGUAACAUGUUCCACUCCUUCGAAUUCUGCACCACAGUUCACAGCACAUGUAACCUCACCUGCAACAUCCACACCUAUUUCUCAGACAAGCUCUAAUAUUCUUGUUCAUGCAGGUACACCAACAGUAACCAUGCAACUACCUAAUACGGCGAGAAAAUGUAUCAUAUGUGCUGAUCGGGAAAUUGAUGCCGUCAUACAGCCAUGUUUCCACAGCCUGUGUCUGGUAUGUGGACUACAGAUACAAGAACAUUGCAGGAAAUGCCCAAUAUGCAGAGGCAACAUUGAAAAUGUCCGCUCAAUAUUUUAUUGUUAAAUUCUAGAUAUUGGACACAAAACAAUGUUUUUGAGAAAUAAUAAUAUGUAGUUUAAAGAGACCGGUCAAAUUUCUCAAGGCAUGGGACCGGUGCAAAUUAGCAUGGGACAUGGACUUUUUAAAAGCAAAAUUUCAAUGGGACCAAGAUUUUUUUCAUCUAAGAUCUGCAUGGGACAUUGACUUUUCUUUUAUUAAAUCAAAUUAAAAAAAGUUCUGACUGUAAACUAUGUAUAAUCGACUGCACAGCCACAAGGUUAAGGAUAGUUCCACAUAUUUCUUUGCAAGGAAAUGAUAAUCAUGAAAACUCUCCCAAUAAAAUUCCUGUCUGGUUGAAUUUUCAGUUUGCACAAAAUUCAGAUAGUAAUUUUUUUUUAAUUUUAUAACUUUUUCAAAUCAGUUUGGAAUUCCAUUUAACUUGACAGCUAUAAUCCCAAUUAUAUACUGUCAAAGUAAUUUGGUAUUUGGUUUAUUGCUGUCAAAUCUAUUAUCAUGUUUUAAGAAAUAGUAAAAAAAACUUUAAUUUUCAGUUCGGAUUAAAUACAGAUGGUCACCUUUAAAAAUAUCCACAACUUUGUCAAAUCAACUUUAAUUGUCAUAAAACUUGCCUUUUUUCUAUAUUAUAUACUGUUCUUACAAAUUACAAAGUUAUUUGGAAUUUGGUUUAUUGCUGUCAAACCUAUAAUGUUUUAAGAAAUAGGUAAAAAAAAGCUAUAAUUUUCAGUUCGGAUUAAAUACAGAUGGUCACCUUUAAAAAUUUCCAUAACUAUUUCAAAUCAACACUGAUCGUCUUAAAACUUGAUACUGUUCUUACAAAUUACAAAGCUAUUUGCUUACAUACUGUCAAAUCUACAAUAUUGUAAUAAAUAGUUAAAAAAGCAAAAAUAUUAACUUAAAGUACCAACUAAAUAUAGAUGUCACCUUUAAAUAUUUUUAUAACUUUUUUAAAUCAACUUUGAU